CGCGGUAUUAUGACCGUGCGAAGGUAGCAUAAUCAUUAGUCUUUUAAUUGGAGGCUGGAAUGAAUGGUUGGACGAGAAAUAAACUGUCUUUGUCCUAAAAAUUGAAUUUAACUUUUAAGUGAGAGGGCUUAAAUGUAUUAAAGGGACGAUAAGACCCUGUAAAGUUUAUACAUUAAAUUAAUUAAAAAUAAUUUAGGAGAUUAAAAUUUAUUAUUGGGGAGAUGUUUAGUUGGGGCGACUAGGAUAUAAUUUAAUUAUAACUGUCUNNUAGAUUAAGGUCAAGGAUAUUUGAGUUUGUGAUCCUUUCUUAGGAUUCAAGAACAAGUUACUUCAGGGAUAACAGCGUAAUUUUUUUUGAGAGUUCUUAUCGACAAAAGAGUUUGCGACCUCGAUGUUGAAUUAAAAGUUUCUCUGAAGUGUAGCAAUUUCAGGAGAAGGUCUGUUCGACCUUUAAAUUUUUACAUGAUUUGA
This 471-nucleotide ribosomal RNA is filed under the name Cherax quinquecarinatus. RNAcentral's name for it is "partial 16S ribosomal RNA". It matches the Rfam family "Archaeal large subunit ribosomal RNA", at positions 2009 to 2677 of the family's 2987-position model. Lineage: Eukaryota; Metazoa; Arthropoda; Malacostraca; Decapoda; Parastacidae. The record is from RNAcentral.